GACUUACCCAGCAACCAGGAGGCUUGCUGCACCAGGGCUGUGCUUUCAGAUGCACAUGAAGUCUCAUCAUCUCUGGAUGCAGCCUAAAAUGCUGGUGAUUGGAAAGAUGAAGUCGCACAGCCAAAGGCCUCCAGAAAAUAUUUUGGUAUAAUUCAUUAUCAUGCUAAGAAGCUGACCCAGUUACAAAAACAGCUACGUGAAGGGAGAGAUGCCUCUUUGUCCCUUGGGCUGCAUCUGGAGUCUCUCCUCACCCAAGAUGAUCCUGAAGACUACCAGGAUCAGGGCCACAUGCAACA
Molecule: long non-coding RNA, 296 nt
Organism: Octodon degus (degu)
Lineage: Eukaryota; Metazoa; Chordata; Mammalia; Rodentia; Octodontidae
Exons: 3
Source: RefSeq, a predicted model, not a curated record